RNAcentral lists this ribosomal RNA (391 nucleotides) under uncultured bacterium. RNAcentral describes it as "bacterial SSU rRNA". It matches the Rfam family "Bacterial small subunit ribosomal RNA", at positions 356 to 764 of the family's 1533-position model. The record is from RNAcentral.
GGGGAAUAUUGCACAAUGGGGGAAACCCUGAUGCAGUAACGCCGCGUGAGUGAUGACGGCCUUCGGGUUGUAAAGCUCUGUCUUCAGGGACGAUAAUGACGGUACCUGCGGAGGAAGCCACGGCUAACUACGUGCCAGCAGCCGCGGUAAUACGUAGGUGGCAAGCGUUGUCCGGAUUUACUGGGCGUAAAGGGAGCGUAGGCGGACUUUUAAGUGAGAUGUGAAAUACCCGGGCUCAACCUGGGGGCUGCAUUUCAAACUGGAAGUCUAGAGUGCAGGGGAGGAGAGUGGAAUUCCCAGUGUAGCGGUGAGAUGCGUAGAGAUUAGGAAGAACACCAGUGGCGAAGGCGACUCUCUGGACUGUAACUGACGAUGAUGCUCGAAAGCGUGG